ACGAAGAGUAGCCCCCGCUCGCCGCAACGAGAGAAAGCCGGUGCACAGCAACGAAGACCCAACGCAGCCAAAAGUAAAUAAAUUUAUUAAAAAACAUUAGUUAUAUAUGACUGAUAACUGAUGAAUAUGGUUAUAAUUUUUAUGAUUUUUUUGUCAGAAGUAUUACUGGCUUUUAAUCUUUGUUUUCUAGGUAUAAGGAAACCUUAAGCUAAGUAUGACUUAUAGCAGCUUGGUAAAUUAGACCUUUGUAAGCAGAACUGAAACAUUUAUCUUUUCUUUCUACUUGAUUCCUCCAGAAAGUGGAAGCUUUCAGGUUCCCAGUAGCCUUAUCAGGUGAAUAAGGAAGGUCAACUCCUGGCAGGUACAAGAAUGUCAAGGUAUUUUGGAGACCUUGAGAAGAGAGGAAUUCACCCAAAUCUAUAGUUAUUGUGGCGGAAUCUAAUGGCAAGCCCUUGGCAUGGCUUUCCUGGCUCAACUUGAGAGGCCUUUUAAAAGUUCAAUCUGAAAUUCCUUAUGAAAAGUUCCAGGAAAAACAAUUUAAAAGAGCCUAUAUAAUCAAUUACACAUUAUGUAAAUAAUCAGGCCAAGUUUAUUUUGCAAACAAAUUAGCCUUAAUUGGGCUAUAUUUGGUAGAAAUGAAGGUGAUUUUAGAGAAAAAAAAAGUUCUAGUGGAUAUUAAGUUCUAAUGUUGUCAAUUGUCUUCCAAGUUUGUACUUAGUGCCCAGGGCUCACUUCUUUUGUUGGCUCCUUGUUACAUUAUUGUGAAGUUUAAUUGAAUUAUUAAAAGGACAUUGUAAGUUUGUUUCUGGAGCUUAUCACAGUAAUCCUUGGAUGAAGAUCAGAUGCCUCAUGACCUGUAACAAGAUUACAUAUACUAGAAAAUAUAUCAUUUAAAGGAUUUUCUCCAACCUAUAUAGGACCCUCCAAUGAAAAUAAUGACAACUAGGCGACUUGAUUAACCAGAUAAAUAGUUCUACAUAAGAUCAAUGAUUGUAAUAGUGUAACCCUAGAUAUGGGAAGAAGCAGUAAGAGGGAAACUAUUCCUGUAUUUUCCAGUAAGAGGGAAACUAUAACAGACUAGUAAGACUAUUAUGGGCCUAGUUCAGUAACAGCACAUUGAGUGGCCUAUAUCAGCGAAAUCCUCACCAGACCUAAGAAUGAGCCUUCCUAGCGCCGUGGGACAAAUUGGUCAUGAAAUGCCUCCUAAACCUUGGUCAAAACUAUGACCAAGGGGAGGGUACUGCCAACUGAGGAAUGUUGCCCAUCAUCCAGUUCUACAGCCCCUGCAGUCGCUGACCUAUAGUUACCCCUAAAAGGACUUCAGGGCGAAGACCGUGCUCUGGGAAAACUGGCAGAACUGGCCCUCAGGUAGUUAGAGAUUUUCAGGAGAAAACUUUUGUGAACCCGGACUCUUGCAUCUUCCCUUGCUUAAUAAAGCACUAAAAUCAUUAAAUGAGAUACCUGUUCCUUGUGACUAGCGGCAACCUUCUCCUGAGACAUGUGCUUGGUUGCACAUACCCUCUUCACGUAACUCACACAUGCUUCAGAGCAGUUCCUCAGAGCUGGGAGGCUGGCUCCUGUUACAGUCCUUGGUAAGUCUCCAAACAAAACUGAAAAGUCACAGCUCUCACAUUGUGCAUUUCAACUGACGGUGGAAAUGAGCUGUUCAAGGUCACACAGCUGGUCGGUGGCAGGUCCCAUCUUUUCACGGCUCCUCCUGCCGCCCCCCGACACUUCGCGUGUUCAAUUACUGAUGCAUCCAUUUCUAUCAACAGCCUUUACCAAAGCCCUGUUUAGGGGCAGUUCCUGUCUCAGGGGUUAGUUCUGGAGCAAGGAUGACACCUCAGGGCUGAGUCCUGUCAGCUCACAGAGCAGAGGGGAGAACAGGGCCGGAGACACAAAGAGAGGGGGCCUGGGCCUGGCCAUGCCCCACGCCCUUCUUCACGCUUUCCCGAGUAACCUAGGCUGGCCAGGCUGUGCCAUAGGGCCUGGCAUGAGCUGAAAGGUUCAAAAGACAGGGUAUUGGGGUGCCCAGCCCAGUCUUUCCACUUUGGGGGGCCCUGUGGUCUGAACGGGGACUCGCGAGAGGCCCAGUCUCUCCUCUGCAGUUCCCAUGCUCCGGUCCAGGCCCAGUGAGGGGGAUCUCAUUCCAGUCUGCAUGCUGGUCUCCAAUGACAUCUUUUCCUCUUAAGGUUGACCUUGAGGUUGCUUCUGAGCUAGAUUCACCUGGCAAGAAGGUUGGGGGUCGAGAGAAUCACAUAGAAUUUGGCCCUGGGCCUGGGCCUGCCCCCCAGGUGAGAGAGUUGCGUGUCCUGUCACCACUGCACGGAGAUGGAGGGAAGGGCCCCCACCAGGUCUUGCUGUCCCCCUCACUCUAGAAAGGACGAAACGGACAGGACCUGCCUGGAGCCAGGCCGAGUGCCUAGUGUCCAGAGGGAACAGGUGAGUCCCACACGCCCCCUUCAGGCCGUGCUGGCACAGUGGGAUGCGGCCAGCGACCCGGAGAAAUGCCUGUCCCGGCCCCCGCUCCGAGCAGUGGCUGCCUGGCGGCCCGGCCCGCCCUCCAGGGACCCUGCCCCCGCCGCCCGCAUGAGCUGUGAGGCCUUAACUACCCAGCCUUCUGAAACUGGCUUGUCCCUUACUGUGGGUCCCCCUAGGGGGGCUGUCUCGGUCCUGAUUUGUGUCAUGGCGUGCGCAUGUUUGCUGUCUCCUCUCUGGGGCUGGUUCCCCUGCCCUCCCAGUGCUCAGCUCCCCGCGGCGGCGGCUCAGGGCAGGUUCCUGCUCCUUCUCUACAGGGAGCAGCUGGGGAGCUGACUCUGACUUAGGAACGCUGCCUGUGGGCUUUGUUUCCAGCCCUCUCAGAGUCACAGGGAAGCUGGCACCAGAGGGAGAACCUUGGCCUCUUGUUUGUCUCCAGCCCGAGCCAGUGGCGUGGAAAGAGGUCAGAGGGCCCGGCUUGGGGGCGGCGGGGGGUGGGGGGAGGCAGCAGGCCAGCCGCCCCAGGCUUCUCCUCCGUCCUGGCCCACGUGCGCCCUCGUGCACACGUGCCUCUCGGUGGGGAGGGGAGGGGUUACCAUGGGACAGGCCGGGCAGAUCACGUUCAAGGCCCUGCCACUGCUGUCGUGGGGAGAAUUAUGGCCGUCGUGACGGGGAGGAGGUGGUAUGGGGAGACUGCAGGAUCGGGGCACAGGCUUCUGCUGAUGUCAGAGCCUGCCACUGACUCUGGGAUGGGUGUGGGGUGCUGGUGACCUCCUCCUGGGCCAAGGUUCUCUUCCUCAGCCUUUGCAGGCUGAGCGCCUUGUUAACUCUCACGGUCCCUCUGAGCAGGAAGGUAGGCAGAGAGGUCUGGGAAUUCCCUCUGGUUCUGGAAGUCCUCUGUGUCUGGCUUUGCUUUUGGAUGAGGGCAGAGCCCCCAAGGGUGGAGACCAGAGGGCACCGCAGGCCAGGAGGGAAGAGAUGCGGCCCAGGCCAUGCAGGGUGCUGGACAGGAAGGCCCAGGGCCGGGGAGGGAGGACCCCACUCAUUCACUCAACAAUCCUUUGAUGAGUGUCCACUGUGUAGCUCUACAGUUACAGGGGAAAACAAACCAUGUGACCCCCUAUGGGGAGCUGUAGGGCAGAUGAAGAGGUUCAGAAGUACAGAGGAGGGAAAAAAAAAAAAGUACAGAGGAGGGAGCACCUGACGACACAGGAGGAGGAAGGGGGUGCUUCUGGGGGGAAGUCAGAUUAGGAAGGAGUCAGCCAGGUGGGAGAGGGGCUGGGGGCCAGGCGCUCCAGGUAGAGCAUGGAGCGGGCGGUGGGGGGGGGUGGAAAUCUGAGGGGUCAGCUGUGGAAUGUUCGUAGGGCGCGGAGGGAAGUCAAGGCUGGAGAGAGAGGCAGAGGUCAGAGCCAGCUGGGUGGGCGUGGGAAGAUUCCUCCGCAGGUUCCCGGGAAGCAGAGGCCGGGAGUUGAGGAGGGGACCUGGAGCUGGUGUGGCCCGGCCCCAAGGAGGAGCCCUGGCAGAGCUGGAGGAGUAGACAGCUAGGGGAGUGUGAACCAGGGUGGACAGCCCCAAAGCUUUGGGACAGACGUUGGCACACCAAUCAUCUCCAGACUCUUCAUGCCUGGGGGGCUGUGGUCUCCAGUGAGGGCAGUAAGAGAACAUCUCCACAUUCAGUGUAAGGAUCUCUGCUAAUCACUCCACUCCGGGAUGCUCGUUAUAGAAUUCUGGGAAGGCAUCAACACAUACACAAACUCUCCAGACGUUCCAGCCGACCACUGGAUACUUAUCUUCAGAUGCUGCUAAGGCCUCGGAACCCGCAGGCAGUGACACAGCAGAUGGAGGACUCUCACCAGAAAGGCCCAAAGCCACUGACCUAAGCAGAUGUCCAGCAAAUGCUGAUAUGAACUGAGAAGUUCCUUAAGACAGAAGCAAAUAUAAGGUCUCCUUAGAAAAAUGCAGGAGGCAAAACCAAGACCAAGACCUUGAGUCUAAUGUAUCCCAAGGUAUAAAAUCCUGAGCUUAAUGUUGGGGGUCCCUGAAAAGCUUCAGCAAAGGCCUCUGACCCACUUUUCAUUGGACAGGGAGGGAUUACCUUCAGGGCAGGAACUGCUUUGAAGAGUAGUCACACCCAAGCCAAUGUACAAAUGAGCAGCUUUUUCAGUGGACUGAGUUUAUUUCUAUCAUCUGGCUCCCUCUAAUGGGGAAAAUAAAAAAUAGUCCAAAACACUGUCAGCACAUGUUCUAGUGAAAACCAGUUUUAGAAAUACAAGCUUGUAAACACAAGCUUUUGAACCACCUAAUUGUAAUUUAGAAAACAAUGAUGUAAUGAUUCAAACUUAUAUUCCAUUAUGCCAGACACGUGAAAAAAGUUGCAGACAAAUAAACUUCGAUAUGAAACAACACAAAAAUACAGUGGGCAGCUCUUAUUAUCCAGAGUACAGGAGAAG
Delphinapterus leucas (beluga whale) is the source of this 4928-nucleotide non-coding RNA. NCBI's taxonomy places the organism in Eukaryota, Metazoa, Chordata, Mammalia, Artiodactyla, Monodontidae. The record is from RefSeq and is a predicted model, not a curated record.